Molecule: non-coding RNA, 671 nt
Organism: Punica granatum (pomegranate)
Lineage: Eukaryota; Viridiplantae; Streptophyta; Magnoliopsida; Myrtales; Lythraceae
Source: RefSeq, a predicted model, not a curated record
GAACUCUUAUAAAUCCAUUGGAUUUCUCUCAACAUGGGGGCAACCCCGUGGACCACCGCCCCCCUAUCAACCUAGCCUGUAACGUCCCAUGUCCGGUGUUCGAGACUAAAUUUCGGUUUCAGUGGAGCAACAGCAGCUGCUUCUGGUGAGGGAGGAGGAGAAGAAGAAUGAACACAGAGAAUAGGGAGGGUGGGAAGAAGAAGAAGCAUGGACGACAGAGAAGCUCGGAAGCAUAACCAAUUGGACCAGAAAAUCGGCAAGAUCCUCGACGAGACUCGAACCUCCUCUACCACCCAUAACCGCAAGCUCGAGGACCUCUCCGCCCUCCUCUCUCAGUCUCACCCCCAUUUCUUCUCCGCCUUCACCAAAACCCUAGCUCCUCUCUUCGACUUCCAGCGCCGUGCCCCUGCUUCCGAGCGCGUGGUCCGCUUCCUUGCCGCCUUCUGCAGCUCGUGCGCCUCCGGAGCUCCUCCCAUCCCUCUUCUCUCUGUCCUCAUUUGUCAAAGAUUUUUUUUUUUUAAGAUUUGUCUUUUAGUUUAUCAGAUUAUAUUAAAUCAUACAAUACUUCAUUAAAGAAUUUAAAAAAAUAAAAUAUUUUUUUUCGUCUAAUUUUUAACGAAAAAUUGAUAAAAAGUUCCAUUUGAUGUAAAUUUAGUCCAUCAUUAUCAAAA